Podarcis lilfordi (Lilford's wall lizard) is the source of this 77-nucleotide non-coding RNA. NCBI's taxonomy places the organism in Eukaryota, Metazoa, Chordata, Lepidosauria, Squamata, Lacertidae. The record is from the annotation of a GenBank genome assembly.
UGCUUAAUCAAAGCUCAGUCGGUAGAGCAGGAGACUCUCCAUCUCAGAGUUAUGGGUUCGACCCCCACCUUGGGCAA